RNAcentral lists this ribosomal RNA (930 nucleotides) under Shigella flexneri. Its description in RNAcentral is "partial 23S ribosomal RNA". It matches the Rfam family "Bacterial large subunit ribosomal RNA", at positions 1 to 963 of the family's 2925-position model. Lineage: Bacteria; Pseudomonadati; Pseudomonadota; Gammaproteobacteria; Enterobacterales; Enterobacteriaceae. The record is from RNAcentral.
GGGUUGUGAGGUUAAGCGACUAAGCGUACACGGUGGAUGCCCUGGCAGUCAGAGGCGAUGAAGGACGUGCUAAUCUGCGAUAAGCGUCGGUAAGGUGAUAUGAACCGUUAUAACCGGCGAUUUCCGAAUGGGGAAACCCAGUGUGAUUCGUCACACUAUCAUUAACUGAAUCCAUAGGUUAAUGAGGCGAACCGGGGGAACUGAAACAUCUAAGUACCCCGAGGAAAAGAAAUCAACCGAGAUUCCCCCAGUAGCGGCGAGCGAACGGGGAGCAGCCCAGAGCCUGAAUCAGUGUGUGUGUUAGUGGAAGCGUCUGGAAAGGCGUGCGAUACAGGGUGACAGCCCCGUACACAAAAAUGCACAUACUGUGAGCUCGAUGAGUAGGGCGGGACACGUGGUAUCCUGUCUGAAUAUGGGGGGACCAUCCUCCAAGGCUAAAUACUCCUGACUGACCGAUAGUGAACCAGUACCGUGAGGGAAAGGCGAAAAGAACCCCGGCGAGGGGAGUGAAAAAGAACCUGAAACCGUGUACGUACAAGCAGUGGGAGCGCGCUUAGGCGUGUGACUGCGUACCUUUUGUAUAAUGGGUCAGCGACUUAUAUUCUGUAGCAAGGUUAACCGAAUAGGGGAGCCGAAGGGAAACCGAGUCUUAACUGGGCGUUAAGUUGCAGGGUAUAGACCCGAAACCCGGUGAUCUAGCCAUGGGCAGGUUGAAGGUUGGGUAACACUAACUGGAGGACCGAACCGACUAAUGUUGAAAAAUUAGCGGAUGACUUGUGGCUGGGGGUGAAAGGCCAAUCAAACCGGGAGAUAGCUGGUUCUCCCCGAAAGCUAUUUAGGUAGCGCCUCGUGAAUUCAUCUCCGGGGGUAGAGCACUGUUUCGGCAAGGGGGUCAUCCCGACUUACCAACCCGAUGCAAACUGCGAAUAC